AGCGAACGUUUGCGGCGGGCUUAACACAUGCAAGUCGAACGGGCUGUUCCUUCGGGGGCAGUCAGUGGCGCACGGGUGCGUAACACGUAGGUAAUCAACCCUCUGGUUGGGGAUAACACUUCGAAAGGAGUGCUAAUACCCGGUAUGGCGCAGCGGUCUUCGGAUCGCGGCGAGAAAGACCCGCAAGGGUUGCCAGAGGACGAGCCUGCGGCCCAUCAGCUAGUUGGCGAGGUAACGGCUCACCAAGGCGAAGACGGGUAGCUGGUCUGAGAGGAUGAUCAGCCACACUGGAACUGAGACACGGUCCAGACUCCUACGGGAGGCAGCAGUGGGGAAUCUUGCGCAAUGGGCGAAAGCCUGACGCAGCGACGCCGCGUGAGUGAUGAAGGCCUCGGUUGUAAGACUCUGUGGGAGGAGACGAAUAAAUACGUAGCGAACAGCUCCGACUGAUGACGGUAGUCCUUUAGUCAAGCACCGGCUAACU
This 484-nucleotide ribosomal RNA is filed under the name uncultured bacterium. RNAcentral's name for it is "bacterial SSU rRNA". It matches the Rfam family "Bacterial small subunit ribosomal RNA", at positions 29 to 502 of the family's 1533-position model. The record is from RNAcentral.